Molecule: long non-coding RNA, 32607 nt
Filed under: Malus domestica (apple)
Lineage: Eukaryota; Viridiplantae; Streptophyta; Magnoliopsida; Rosales; Rosaceae
Description: long non-coding RNA (MDOM_LNC014944)
Source: RNAcentral
GGGAUGGAGGUCUCAAAAUCCACGAAAAGUCUGAUACGUACAGCUUCCGUAAACCAAACGUAUCAAGUGAAUUCAACACGUGAUGACUGGUGACUAAAAUUCCAUAAUACGAACAUUCAAGUUGAAGUCGUCUUAUCUUAACAUGAAGGGUAGAGAUUAGCUUAAUUGUGAACGUUUUCUGUGUUUUAUACCCACGUGUUAGAGCGGGUUGGAAAAUGUGUUGGGGGCAGGGAGGCAUGAGGGUGCAAGUGGCUUUGGCUCCGUUUCUGUAAACACUUGCGAUCUAUAAACAUCUAGGCGGAGCCAAUGAUAUGUUUUGCUAAUCUAAUAGUUCAGAUUGUGUCCAUAUGGCAAACAAUCUUUAAGUAAGUUUAGAUACUUAUACGCAUGUAAAGAUUUGAAUUCAAUAACGUCUGAAUUUACUGCUUAUUUCAUACUAUUUUUGUGUACUAUUGGACCACUUAGGUUGGUUGGUAUUGGGAGUGAAUGAUUGCAUGCACAUAUAUCAAUUUAGUGCCCACUACACACUGUUUCACAGGCUUGAAUGCAUAAUAGUGCAGUUUCUAUAAGUAGGGAGUGAUGUCAAAGGAUGCUUGUAAAAAGGGGAAGAAUCGUUUGCUAAGCUUGGCAAGGCAUUUCAUGGAUAAUGGGACACCCACCUAACAACGACCAUGAUGGUACUACCAUUAUAUACCAACUUUUUUCUUUUGGGUACUAAUAUAUAUUAUUGUAUGGUUCCAAUUAUAUUUCCCACUUUUCCUCUUGUAUUUUGUGGGAAUUUUUUUUGUUUUUUUGUUUUGUAAAUAAAUUCUUUGUUUUGCAACUCAUUAUAGUAUUUACUCUCAAAUUUCCAAUAAUUCUUUUUUUUUAAAACAAAUAAUAUUAUGUGCACUAAAGAUGAGAGAUAGAAUUAACCAUGGAAGAUAUCUUAUAUUUAUUUUUAAAGCAUAAAAUUUAAAAGUAUUGCAAUCGUUGGCUCUAUUUGCUAUACAAGUAAGGAUAAUACUUGCAUUCUUCCUUUGAUAAUGAGCUCAUUUCUUCAUUUGCAAAUAAUGUAUCUUCACUGUAGACAGUGUCUUACCUUUCAUUUGAAGAUCAUUCCUACAAAAAUUCUCUUGAAUCGGAUAUCGUUUAGUCAUUCAAAUUGUAUCAAACAAACCAACAAUGUAGGUACCAAGUGAUAAAUUAAUGGCGAACCAUCCAUUUACUUGAUACAUUUGAUGGACUAAACGAUCUCUGUUUUGAAAGAUUUUUGUGAGUAUGAUCUUCAAAUGAGGAUUAAGACAUUGAACAAUUAUGAUUAUAAAGUUUCUACGAUAAAGACACGUUAUUUAUAAGUGGGGAAUGAGUUCAUCCUUCAAGAAGGGAAUGCAAGUAUUAUUCUAAAAUUAAAACCAGAAAACAGAAAUGUAAAGACCAUUGGAUGGCAUACCAAAAAAGAAUUUUUAAAAGCAAAUCCUCGAAUAGUUUGGACUCACAAAAGAUGUUAGAAACGUAGAAGUGAAAUUUUAACCUUCCUUAGCCUUGAAGGUUCUUUUGGGGAUCCUUAGAUGUUAGAUGAGAGGUAUAUGGCCUUAUGCUACUGUGCUAGUUUCCUCUUUUACUUAUCCAAUUCUACUUUUUGUAACCUUUGGAUUCCACUAGGUUAAAAGAACUUCCGAGUAUUUUUUUCAAAUGGAAGAUGAAGUCACAAAAGGCUUCUCCUCACAAAGUUAGUCCUGCAAAUAACAGAGGAAAGAUGAAAAACCAUGCAGAUAUUUUGUGGAGAUAUAAGUAUACGAGAGUGGCUUGUACCUUACCAACUAGACAUCUAUGCUUAUUUUUUACGUAAUUUGCGUUUACUAACAUAUAAGAAAAAAAAAACGUAAGUAGGUCUCACGUCCCUCUACCACAAUGUGAAAAUUUUCAAAGACAGUCUAGGUAAUCUUACCUCUAUUUUAAAGAUUUUUAUAAUUUAACUUUAGAGUGAUAGAGCAUUUUUAAGUGGGGUUAAAGAACAACCAAGGGCCUCAAGAAGGAGAGAGACUUAUCUACAUUGUUGUAUGAUAAAGUUACACUUCGUUACCAGUUUUAGAUAUAAUCACGAUUAUGCUUUGUUUGGUAAUCUAAAAUUUACACAAAAUUGAAAAUCGAAAACAAUUAGAAUUUCUUCAACCAGUGUAAGAUAAUCUUUCUGAAAACUUAAGUCACCAAAUGAAUUAUGGGUUCGAAAUUGAAAAAUAAAUGAUUGUCAAACAGAAAAUUCUCGAUUAAUCCUGGCAACAUUGUACAUAAGACCAAAAGUAAGAAAGGUCCAAAAUUUUGAUUCUAAUUGCGAACCCCAAUAACAAAUCGAAAUUGUGACAUACAAUUCACAUUGCUAAAACUCCAAUAAUUCACAUGUCUGAGAGGACUCAUGUCACUCAUCAUCUCCACUCCACUCCCCAGACAAAGACUGCAUGCAGAUUGCAGGUGAAUUGUAUUCUUCGAUGGGAAUGGGGUAUUUUAACAGAGACAACAACGGAGGGAGUGAAUAAUUGGAGAUUGAGUGGCUCAUGAAUUUGCAACGCUUGCUUUUGCACUUUGCAGGCACAUUAUUGAUAUUUUGGCCCAACUCCAAGGGCACAGAAUAAAUUCCAAUAGAUAAAAAAAUAAUAAUAAUAAAAGAAAAAAAAAAAAUAUAUAUAUAUAUAUAUAUAUAUAAAGUUGGAAGAAACGAAUGAAUAAGAAAAAUGGAAACGUGGCGUGGUGAGGGAGGAGGUGGUGCAUCGCUGCAAAGCAUGAGGGAAGGCACGUGGAAAAGAAUAACCUUGAAAACUGCAACAAGUUACCUAAAAAUAAUAAAUUUAAACACUCUAUUCAUUUGGUUCCAAUAGUAUUUUAAAUUGUCAUUUAGUAUCACAGUCUAGUAGAAUUCGUUUGAAAUUUUCAUUUUAAAAGACGCUUCACGUUCAAUGAAACUCUUCUACUAGAAGCACAUUGAAAUUUUUAGUAAAAAUAAAAGUGUUCACUAGAAAAGUGCUUUGAAGAUAAAGGCACUUCUAACUUUUUCGGUUAAAAAAAGUAAGAAUCACUUUUGGUGAUCUAAAGUCAUUUAACUUAUUGUAAAAGUACUUCUAAAUACGCUUAUUUCCCUCUACCUAUAAAUUUCUUAAAUUUGACUUCUUUAUAACGUAUUAUGGCAAGUCUUAUUGUAUGGCUUAACCCAACAUCGGCUUCUUUACUGUAAAUAAUAUAGAUAUUAUUGCAAGUUAUUGAAUUAAGUGUGCGACAAGGGGUGGCGUAAGGUGAUCUGGGUGUGCUGGUUUGCUCCCCGACUGUGCCUGCAAUCUGCAUGCUCCCAUGCAUGUAUACUGGUGCAAUGCAACCCUCCUCUCUUUUAACUUAUUCAAUAAGCUUCCAAAGUCCGCCUCCCUUUACUGCUUCUGCGCUUCUACUUCCCCGGCCACUCUUAUCAUCCUGCAAUCCACAAACCUCCUCUCUUUUAACAACAAAUCUUGUAUAUAUUCAUGACCUAUACUUUGGCUACUCAAAGGAUGAGUAGGAGUUUUACUUAAAAUUGUCCAAUGUCAAUUUACAGAACUUUGUGUUUAUGAUCGGAACCGUUCAUGUUAUAAAUCAUUAUGUAAAAAUCGCCUCUGCAAAAAAUCAAUUAAAACUAGGUUUGUUUAGUCAUCAAAUUGUACAAAAAUAGAUGAACAUAAUUGGUAAAAGAAUUAUAGACCGUCUAUGUAUUUGCUACACUAGAUUAACUAUACAACCUUAGUUUUAAUUUAUUUUUUGCAAAAGAUGAUAUUUACAAAGUGAUUCAUAAUAUAAACAUUUUGAUCAUAAGCACAAAACUUUGUAAUUCGAAUACGAAGAAUUUUGAGUAUGAGCUUUUACUCAUCCUUGAGUAGUCAAGCAUUAUUCUGUAUUUAUUAAUGUUGAUAACUAUGAUGUUGUCAUAUACUGUUAUUGUCGUUGUCCUAUCUUAUCGUUUAUGUUGUGGGAUUAUGAAUCUAUACUAUUCAUCAUAUUAAAGUUAGACAAUUUAAUGACAUAACAUAUUAAAUUCAACUAUAAUCUCUUCUCAUCCCUCGCAUUGAACCUAAAAUAUUGAUCGAGCGGACUUUUAAUUUAAUGCCUAUAUCCAUAUAAAUAAUCUAGAUUCAUUAGUGUAAUGUACCAUAACAUGUCAAAUACUACGACAAUAUAACAUUAUCAUUCAUCACAUGUGAAACUAAAUUGUUUGUAAGUUAGAAGUUUAUUUAAAUGGUGUGCAUGGAAGCAAAAAAUUCAGAUUUACAUACAUAAUUUAACAACAUAACAUGUCAAACCCUGCAUCAAUUAGGCAUGUUAUAUAAAUCCAUUGGCAUUGAAUUUCAAAGACAUUGUUACAUCAAUACUUUGACUAAGGAUGUAAUUAUAAAAAAUUUCACAAUCUGGAUUUUUAGAGGGUAAAACUUGAAGUGAAAGUGUGGUUGGAACUUGGAGGAGAAGGUUGAGUUUCUUAAUUACUAAUAUUACAAAUUAUUCAUGUCACAGUAAUCCUACAUAAAACACAUCCAAAUCACACUUAAUUUCAACACAUUCUUCAACAACAGAAAACUAAACAGGAAAUCUAAGCUGGAUUUCUUCCAUUUUGCCAUGCAUGCUCAUGUUCUCUUUUUAUUUGGGGGGGGGGGGGGGGGGGGGAGCUGGAUUUCUUCCAUUUUGCCAUGCAUGCUCAUGUUCUCUCUUUUGUUGGGGGGGGGGGGGGGGAGAGAGAGAGAGAGAGAGAGCAAAGAGUAGCAAAUAAUUGAAAUAAUAUAUUUAGUAUGAACCUGUCUGCAAAGGGUUGUAACUCCCGACAAUACCACACAGACAAUGGAGUUCGUGGAAUGUGAUUGUUCUUUCUUAAUUGUUUUUUACAUAUGUUAAAUAGAACAAAGAGCUGGCUCCCCCCUGUAUGCUUAAUUUUUUAUUUUUUUUAAAGGGGGACAAUUGGUGGCAAGCCACAGUUAUCUAUCCCUUUUAAGGGCCGAGAAGACUCACAGAGGCAUUUCAGCCUUCUCAUGACCACAAGUCUAGCUUCCACACCAAUAACGGAUUUCUCUUGUAUGCUUAAUUAAAUUUAAUAGUUGAUACACCCUAAACCGCUAAACCCCAUACUUUGUCAGAAUGAUUACUAACUAAUUGUUCUGGUUUGAUUAUAAUAAUUAUAAUUAUGAACUUUACUUUAUGGGUUCAAUUAUUAAUGUCCCCGCAUCAAUUCCCUAACUUUCCUUGAAGCUUCUUUGUGUUCUUCAAACUCUCCAAUUCCCCCACCAAAAUCUCAAAAACAAUCAUGCAUGUAUCCCUCUAAAAAAAAAUAAGGGCUUCAAUCAUGCACUUUUUUACCUAAAGAAAUGUCUAACACCCGAUGCCUUUUGUGCUUUUAAUCAUUUUUGCAACAAAAAGCUCUUAUUAUUUGAAAAAUGACCUUUUCUGCUCCUUUCUCACCACCCUGUCCCUCUCCCACACAAUCUGGCUGGACUUUUGGUCUUCAUGAGCCCAUGCAUAACAAGCAAGAGGCUGUAUAUGUUGGGCUCUAAUUUCACUAGAUCUAGACCCAUAUUAUAUUAAAAGCAAGUAUUCAUUGUGUAAGACGUUUUUUGUUGAAGAGAGGACGUGCUACAAUGGCAUCGACACAUUACUGCUCACCCGUUCUUUAAUAUGUGUUUCAUAGUCGGUGUAUAUGAAAAAAAAAAUAAUAAUAAAUAAGAUUAUAUUCAGACUCUCCGUUCGUGCCAUGUCUGGACUAUUUAUAUAUAAAAAGAAUAUAUUCAGAUUCAGUAUCAAUUUUCUAAUAAGAACUAUUUCUGUAUGAAUUAUGGGACUUGCACUCUUUUAAUUUUGGUUGGACAUUUUUCUUUCUUUUUUUUGGUAAAUCAAUUGAACUUUGAAGCAGACAUGUUGGCAACACAAACAAUGAACCCCACCAACCGGAUAAAAACAAAUCCUACUAAAUUAUGUGUGUAUUAUGAAUUCAGACAAAACCUGGAAAAGAAUCUGAUCUAACUAAUACUUGAACCCUAGUUUGAAGAUUAGAAAUAAACUUUUAAAGGUUGGACAACAUAUCGCUUUAACAUUAUUUUUAAAGGUAGGGCAACGUCAUUACCAUGAAAGUUCUUGAUCCACAGCACUUUAUCCAUGCAUGGCUGUUUGGGCCCCACCUCUCGUUAGCCCCUUAAGAUUUGGAAAGUCUUGAGCUUUGGUCAAAUUGGUUCUGAAAUCUGCAUUAUCAAAGAAUACAAAGAAUGCGGUACUAAAUAGUAAAUAAUUGAACAGAUUUUCAACAAAUACAAAGAAUUUUUGUCCCCUACUCGUCCUAUGAAUUCGACAAGAUGAUUGAGAUCACUAAAAAUAUAGCAGAAAUGAGAUACCUUGGAUUGGAUGUGGCUUUCCUUCUUCUUUCCUUGCAAGAUUGUGAUCUUGGGUUUUGUUUCUUGUGUUGAACUGCAGCAAAAGGAUUGGAUAAUGCCCUUAUCUCUCUUAGUAAAUCUGAAUAUACAAUCUGGUCGAAGAAAAAGGAGCAUAAUGUUCUUGUUAAUACUUCAUAGUAUACUUACUUUGCAUCAAUUCAAUCAAACUUGUAUGGAAGUUUUAGUUGUUCCCAUCCGUCUGUAUAUUAUAUUACUAUCAGCUGCAGUUUGACGUGAAUCUCUGAAGGAGAACAGAACAGAUUAUUAUUCUCAAGAAAAAAAAAGUACAGAAAAGGAAGAUAGCUGGUUAAAAACUUAACUACAGAACUUCGUGACCUGUAUGUUGUGUGCGUCACAAUGCGCUUUUCACAUAUUUUGAACUCGCCAUCUAACUUCAUUGGCAACGACCAUGAUGUAUCAAUUGGUAUUAGGUUCUUUCUGCAUGGUUGACAUGUGCUCGAACAAGAAAUCAGCAGCAAUUCAGGUGCUCAAGCUCCAAUUUGUACACUUAAUCAACACACCUGAAAGGAAGAAACCUGUUUGUAGAACACAUUUCUACUUGUUACAUAAUCAUAUGUUGUAUAUCCUACUAAACUUAAGAACCCUAAGGAGCUGAGAAUGGCCACAAGCACAAGGUUAAAGGCUUGUCUGUAUAGCUUCACUUCUCCCGGAGGUCCAAUGUACCCCACAAGAGCUGUUCAUCAUGCGGCAUGGGAUGAAUUAGAUUUGCCCUUUCCUGUUGGCAGAUACUCUCAGCAUCUUAUAAGCCUGUUCUUCCGAUUGAUAUAUCCUUGGCACUGGCCCGCUUCUUGUUGGAAUUUCAUAAUGGAUUGCGUAAGGGCAGUACUGUAUUCUCUGUUAGGAUUAAUCUACUCAAGUUUGGAGAAGCUGAGAAAGCCAAAGUUUUAAAAUGCUGCAAAUUUCGAUAGUCAGUAACCAAAAAUUAAGACCUACAUUUUUCAUGUCGGUUUGGACUCUAGAGUAGUUAAUGACUUCACAUUUAAACAAAAUAAUCUUCUUGAACUCCAAAAUAAAGUGGUUAUUUUUUCAGAAAUUAAUUUGAUUUUCCCUCGAACGGGUUUGGUAUGAAAAGAACAUGCAAUCAGUGCCUGCUUGCAAGUAAUUACAUGUAAAGACAAUCAAAAGUGUGAACAAUUAUCAGGGUUUUAGAGCAUUCUAACUUACUGGUACAGCAGCACGACAAUUCUUCUAUACCCAAAAAUGCAUUUGGAGCAUACCGAAUGGGCCUCAGAUGAUCAGUAAUUGAUCCAGAAUGGAGUAUAUACUGCUUGAAGUUUUACGUCUCUUGUUGUCAACCAUAAAUUCAUAAACACGGCCAUCAAUUUCGAUCGAGCUCAUUGCUCCUACUUUAUGGAUCCACCGUCUUUUAUUAGUUUCCCAAUGAUCUUAACAUCUUCCCAUCUGUGCACUUCACCAAAUAUGUUUGCUAGAAGUACAUAAAGCCCAGAACCAUGCGGUUCCAACUCCAACAGCUGCUUCAGAAUUAGCUUUCCCAAAUCCACAUUUCCAUGGAUCCUAAAAGCACCAAGCAAAGCAUCCCAAGUGACAACAUCAGGCUUCAUAGGCAUUCCUCUUACCAGCCUCAUUGCUUCUUCUAAAAGUCCCACUCACCACAGCAGAUCAACCAUGCAAGCAUAGUGCUCAAUUUCAGGUGAUAUUCUGUAAAUAGACUUCAUUUUUUCAAAAUAACAUCUCCCGAAGUCAAGAAGACCACUUUGACUACAAGCAGAAAGCAGUGCGAUGAAGGUCUCAUCGGGCCAGAUUCCACCUGCUUGCAUAUGUUUGAAUAUCACGAUUGGUUCUAAUCCAUGACCGUGCAAUGCAAGGGCCUGGAUAAUGAUGUCCCAUGAUACGACAUUCUGUUCUGGUAUCUGAAAAAGAAUAUACAAGGCAAUUCCAACAGCACCGCAUUUUGCAUACAUGUCUAUCAGGGAAUUAUAAAGAGUUACACUGGCUGCAAUAUUGCAGAUGCAAAUGUAAUUAUGGGUUUUCCUUCCAAUAACCAAAUUGCCAAUUUGACUGCAAGCUGAAAGGACGUACCAAGGUAGCCUCAUCGGGCACCACACUGGAAUUAAGCAUUUUCUGGAAAAGAUCCAAAGGCACCCUGCACUGGCCUUCUCGGACAUAAUUUGAAAUCAUUGAAUUCCAAGAAACUACAUUUUUCUGUGGCAUCUGGUUGAAAAACUCCUCAGAAAAUUCAAUGAGCCCUUGUUUAGCAUAUGCUCUAACCAUUGACAUCCAGGAAACCACAUUUUUGUGAGUCAUUUGAUCAAAAAUCGUUCAUGCCAAGUGCAACUGCCCACACUUGGCAUACAUAUCCAAAAGAGCAUUUCUCAUAAUUUGAUUAACUUCAAUCCCACUAACCCCAAUAAAAAGAUAGAUAUAUCUUCCCAGUUCUAAAUCACAAGCUUGUGAACAAACAGAGAGUAAAGUAACCAAGGUGAACUUAUCAGGCUCAACCCCCAAUCUCCAUUCUCCCUAAACAAUAAAAAAGCUUCCUCCCAUGAACUCGUUCUAGCAUAUCCACUGAUCAUCGAAUUCCACAAAACCACACUCCUCUCAGACAUAUCAUCAAACACAUUCCGAGCGCAACUGAACAACCCACAAAAUCUGUAGAGAUUAAUAAGGGCAUUUUGCACGCAAACUUGAGACCCAGUUCCUAGCUUAAUACCCUAACUGUGGACAACCACGGCUUCCCAAUAUGCAGACUGCCCCACGCAAACGUUGAGCACAAGGGGCAGCGUGAACUCGUUCGGUGAGAGUCCUGAACCAACCAUAUGGCAGUGGAGUGAAAAAGCCUUAAAUGGGUCAUCACUAUUCGAGUAACCCCUUAUCAGACUAUUGUACAUAAACUUAUUUAGUUUAGGAUUUUUGUGGGACACGAGCUGGGCGUAAAGGGGAUUUCCGGAAUCAGAGACGGAGCAGAAGGAUAUGAGUUUCCCUGACGGUGACGUUUUCGUUUGUGAGGCUGAGGAUGAUUUGGGCGUGGAGCUGUUUGAGUUCUUUCAUGGAGGAGCACUGCUCUAGGAGAUGAUGCAGGGUUUGGUGUGUGGAGGUCUUGAAUUUGUGGGUGAAAUUGGUGGGAUUUGGAGGGAGAGUGGUUUGCAGAGAGUGAAAGAGGCGGGAAGCAACGGUCGGAUUUUUGGCGGUGAAUAACAUGGCCGUUGGGCUUUAGGUUUGGGGGUAAAUGUAACGGUUUUAUGAAUUAUAAAUACCAAGUAUUUUUUGUUCAGUUGAAAAUAUCAUGUUGCAACAACUGGCCCUUCACUUGUACGGAAGGUCUCGAAACUCACAUGAAUUAAAUAAUACUUCCCUAGUGAAUAUGAAUCCUUGACGAUGUGAAUUCUUAUUUGAAUGUAUGAUUCAGAAUGACAGUCUAAUAACAACACGUGUCGGAUAUAAAGAAAAUGUAGUCCACAAUCAUGCCGUUCAUAAUGCUAGUGUAAGUUCAACUAAACAAGAUGACUAUUAUGUACAGGUUCAGGCAAAUAUGGUUACAGAAGGUGUCACUUGCAUUUCUUAAGAGUUAAGGACCAAGCCCCGAAGACAACAUUCGACUUGCAUCUAUUAAGCAUAUAGCUAGCGUUCCUUCUAAGCUAGGAUCAAACUCGUCCUUUGAGUAUGAUUGGGCCUCGCAGUGGUAGAACCUAGUGAACCAUACGUACCACUUCCUAACCUUCUGUGGACUGGACCUUGCUUCUCGUAUGGUGAGGGGGACGACCAGCCAAAUUCACAUCAGAAAUCGACAACAUCAACACAAACAGUUUCAAACCUAAAUUUUACUAAUUACAAGUAAAUAAAAUGAGAACUAUUUCUUUUUCUUCAUAAAAUACAAUUCAACAGAAUAACCUUGUAGGUAUACUUUUCUUUAAGUUUCGUCUCAGAACGACCCUAUCUAUAUCUCCCAAAAAUAUCUGUAUAUGGAUGCGAUUGUUCUAACUCGGUGGAGCUCAAUUGUUGUAUAUGACAACAACCAGCAGGACCUUUACAAAGAAGCAAGAAGCCAGAGAUUGAACAGAGAGGAACCUAGUGAAAGAAACCAAGACAGGAAAGCCAUGGCAGCAGAUAACUGAUAUCUAGUACAUAACUUGGCGGGGCAGUAGGAUCCGUCGAGAUACAGUAGGAGAUUUGUGGUACUAGCGGUCGUGCAAGCUGCAGCGAGUGAGAGAUACGACAACGCCUGUGAUGAAACGAACAUAAUAUAGUCUUAACUUAAGUUGGGAAAAGGAAGAACAUGUUAAUGGGAUAAAUAAGUUUAUAGACAAAAACACAUACCAAGUCUCCUAAAAUAAUUAUUAUAAUUAUUCUUGGUUGAUGAUGCAAACAUCUAAAGAAGACAGAGUAGACAUCAACGAUCACCAGAGUCAUGCUCCACGGAACUACCAAACCCAUUACCGUCACCAAAUAGCUGCAACACCAACCAAGCAAUGGUAAGAGUUACUACUGUUACUAGAAGAGUUUCUGGUGGAUUACAUUCGUCUCCUUCAUUGUUGCACACUAGAAAAAACCGAGACAAAACAAAUCUGACAACGGCUAACAAACAAUUCAGAUAGCACCAUAUAAUCCCUUCAGUUUACAGGUUAGCACAUGAAAAAAACAAACAUUGUUAGCAAAGUGACUUGAAUUUGUUAGGUUUUAUAAGUUGAAAAGUUCUUAAUUACUAAAAUAUAUACCCCUACCCCAGAAGACUCUUUCAGAGAAGGCAAUAUUUUAUAGGGUUGAGAACACACGCCAUUAAGGACAAGUGCAGGGUGAGGCUAUACAUUAGAAGUACAUUGGAGAAAGGCAAGCCGCACAUACAGGUGAACAGGGCUAGACUUCUUUGGACAUAUCAUUAGAACAUAAGUUCUCAAAGACUAAGUCAAUGACUAGAGAAACAUUGACACGAACAGACGUGCAAAAUUAGCCUUGUGAGAAAAAAAAUAAAAAUUCAACUAAGAGCAGAUGAAACAACAUGAUUUCCGAUAUGGCAACUGGUACUCCUUUUUCGGAGCUUUAAUGUUUACACUGUAAUGUUUGGAGGCUGAAAGAUUUGGCUUCCAAUUCCCGAUUCGGGAGCUUUUUUUUUUGCAAUUCAGAUUCAUGUCAAACAGGCCAUAAAAUGGGUAAAUUCUAUCGAGCGGUUUUUUGAUGCUCUAUGAUGUUCGAAUUAGACUUCAAAGCUGCUAAAAACUAAAACUAUCACAAUCCCUGGCUUUGAUUCAAACAUAGAAAGUAAAACUUCCCAUCGACAUAGUUUCUAGUGAAGAUACCCGAAAUUCGAUGGUGAAUUACAGAGUCUUGAACAGUUCCUUCUAAACAAAAAGUUCAAUAUAUUUACUUGCUCAAUUAGGAGGAACUUAGAAACAAAAAACAUGUACUAAAAAUCUUCCAUCAAGUCCAAGUAUAUAAUAUUUUGCACGUAUAAAAUAGAGUUAAAUUUAAACCAGUACAAUCUCUAUACGAUCUUUUCACAAAUACAGUUUCCAGUUCUUGAGAAAACCAUAAGGCAAUAUCCAGCUCAAGAAAUCAAAACAGAAUUUCCAUCAAAUUCAAAAACAGAGACAUGGGUAUUGAAGAACAAAUCGAAAUCACAAAAGGGUCGGAUGAAAUUCAACUAAAACCUCCAAAAACUCCUAAGUCGAAGAAUUCGAAAGUACCAGAAGGCGGUGUAGCUGUAGAACUCGACGUCCAAGCACAUGAAGAGAAGAGAGGCAGUGGAGAAGAUGGUCUGCCCGAAUCGCAGAGCCAAGCUGGCACUGGUUCCCAACGACCCCGGCAGUUCAUCCAUGCUUGCAAUUGCAUGCAGCUGCAGCCGCAGCAAGAACUCCUCAUGGCAAACGAAAUUCAAGAACAAUUCUUAUCAGCCACAUGACCAAGUAAUUGUGAGAAAAAUGGAGUUCUAAAUAAUUGUGGGGAAAUACGGGGAGGACUUGCUGUGGAGGGAACAAUGGCAAUGGGAAUGUGAAUCGUUGUGGUGAAUUGUGAAGGAAAAGGAGUGUUCGCGGACAAAAGAACAGAAAAGUGAAAGGGACGUAAAGGGUACGCAGAUUUUGGUGGGUUUUUGGCUUUGGCUUUGGCAUCUCCUCCUUCAUGAGGGCAGAAAUGGUUUAAUGUUCUUCUCCGGCUGGUAGCGAUGUGUGGUGGUAAUAAAAUGCCAAACAUUUUAGGCCACACUUAACGGAUGUGACAUUUUUAACAAGUUGUCUACAUGUUUUGGAUGUUUAAAAAAAUUGAGAUCAAUUUCAAAUGAUAGUAAAAGGUUGGGAACUUUAGGGUUUGUUUGGUAUCCUAUUUGAAAAUUUUUAUAAUUUCUCAAAACAUUUCUUAAGAAUUUUUCUUGAAAACAAUUUUCUUUAAGACUCAAAAACUUGUUUGGUAUGUGAUUUAAAAUUUUUAAAUCUUACAACUAAAACUGGAUAAAAAUAUCCAUAAAAAGGAGGUCGAGAGAGAAAGAGGAGAGAUGAGGAAAGAAAGUAAGAGAUGAUUAGAGGAAAGAAAGUAAGAGAUGAUUGGAGGAAAGAGAAAAAAGUGAGAAGAUCGGAGGAGAUAGAGAGGAAGAGGAGUGAGAGAAAGAAUCGAGAGAAUGAAGAGAACGGAUUGGAGGAGAGACGAAAAAAGUUAAAAAAAAAAAAAGAGAAAGGGAAGAGAGAAAGAAGAAAAGAGAGAUAUAUUUGGAGUGAGAGGGGAGGAAGGAGAAAAAAGAAAUGAGUGAGUUUAAGUUUAAAAACUCUAAAAACUCUAAAAACUCACUUUUUAUGUUUUUAGAUAAUAAACUAUUUUUGAGUUAGUCUUGAGUUCAGUUUUUGAAAAUAAUCCUACCAAACAAGUUUUUAAGGCCUAAAACUUGAAAAUUGUUUUUGAGUUUAAAAAGUUGAAUUCAAGUAGAAUAUCAAACAUGCUCUUAAGUUCUUAAUCUUUUUUACAUUAUUAAGUUUAUUAUAAGCAAUAUUACUACCAUAUCCAUAUUAAAGGAGGGUACGACUCCGAACACUGUAAGUUAAGAAGAGGAUCUUAACCAUCAAGAAAUAUUUAUAUGGCACAUGUACACUAGCGCUACGCGCCAAUAGAAUAAGAACAUAAGUAAAUUUUUGUCUCUAUAUUCUUAUUUUGUUAGCACAAAAAACCAAUAACCGUACUCCCAACCAUGAGGGUGAUUCCAAAAAAUUAUUAAGUGGGUAAAAAUAAUAAGUUUCUUUUCCUCCUUUUCUUUUUCCUCAAUAAGGUUCUUUGAAUCAAAGUGUAUAAAAUAAGGGAAUCGGCCUUAAAUUUGCUAUUAUAUUAUAUGUCAUUGUUUUUCCUUUUCAUGAUUAAUUGCCGAGUGUAUUUUAAUACAUGUCGAACAAAAAUCUGUCUAUAAAAAGGAAACUGAUCGGGGCAGGUCCUCAACUGUAAAUGGACGUUCUGAUAUCGUAUAUCAUCAUGUUACUUGAAUUAAAACGAAUAAACUAAUAUAAACGUGAGAUGAGAUUCUACUUAAUCACUUUAAUUUGAAUUUUUACACUCAUAAUUUAGAUCAGUUUAAAGUGACAGAUUACUUUUGAAAACAAAUAAACAAACUAAUUGUUAUCAUAUUCAAAGCACCCAAAUAACAAUAAAACAUUGACUAAAAAAAAAAAAAUGAAUAACAAAGUAGUAUAUUACGAAACCCUACGUACUACUAGUUUUUUUCUUUGUUGUUUUUAAAGUUUGGAUAACAUUAAAGAGAUCAAAUUUUUGAAUUAAAUUUGUAAAGUAACUGAUAUGUCACAAAUAAAAAAUAAGCAUGUUAAUCGAUACUUAAUUAGUAAUUCAAUUAUCUAUAACCACAUUAUUUGAUUUACAAAUUUAACGUUACCCUUAGGGUAUGUUUGUUUGCCUUCACUAGCAUUCCUUGGACUGGACUAGACUAAAUAAUAGUCCAGUCUGGUGUUUGUUAUUUACACGGACAAGCGUUAAUGAGACUAAAGAGGACUCGCCCCGACUGAACGCCUCGCUAGCCGUUCUUAGCGAGAGCCCUCGAUUUCGAGCAGACUCCUAGUCCCGUCCUCCGCUGAUCCAUCCGUCUUCUUCUCCUUCGUACCUUUGCCAUCUCCCAUCUCUUUCACGACUUCGCCGUCUCAUCCGAGUUCGAGCAGGACGAGGAGGUUCUCAGCGACGACGGAGAGGCCUCUUUUGACCUCAAACUCUUCGUGGGUAACCUUCCCUUCAGCGUCGAUAGCGCUCAGCUUGCUAGUAUCUUUGAGAGCGUUGGAAAUGUCCAGAUGGUCAAGGUAAUUCCUUGUUUUCACUCGAAAUUUUGUAAAUUUUACUUGAAAUUUGGGUGAAAAGUGAAAUCGGUUGUUGCUGGUUUAGUGUUUUGUGGGUUAAAUUUGGAAGGUUUUUAGCAGGUGAUAUAUGAUAAGACGACCGCAAGAAGUAGAGGAUUUGGGUUUGUGGCUAUGUCAAGUGUUCAAGAAGUUGAAUCUGCUGCUCGCCAGCUAAACGACUACGUAAGUCUGACCAUUUGCUGAUAUUUUCUUAUAUAUGCGAAAGUUUGUGAUUUGCGAAUUGGUACUUUAUUUGUAAUCGUAUUUAUACGAACGGGAAUCUAUUUUGAGAGAAAAUGGAAAUUUUUUGACAUUUUCUGCCCUGCAACUUCCAUGGCUGCUUGAGCCAAGUAGGAAUAGAGAACACAGUAAGAAGUCAAGUGGUAACUUGAUUCCUGGAAAGCAAUAUGUCAGUGUAAGAACACAGGCUCUAGUGACCAUUCUGUCCUGGUUGGCGAGAAAUGGUUUUGCUCCUACCGACAAUGUGGUCGUGUCUCUGGCAAAAUCAAUAAUUGAACCACAUGUUACCAAAGAGGAAGACAUAGUGGGUUGCUCAUUUCUGUUGAAUAUGUUGGAUGCUGUGAGUGGGGUUGAAGUGAUAGAGGAGCAGCUUAGAACAAGGAAGGAUUACCAAGAAGUUUCUAGCAUCAUGAAUGUGGGGAUGACAUAUAGCUUGUUGUAUAGUUCAGCAUUUGAGUGUGAAGAUCCUACGCAAAGGAGGGAGCUGCUACUAAGGAAGUUCAAAGAAAAACACACAGGUAAUCGGCUACACUUAUUUACAAUUUGCUAUGCUAUCAUCUUAAAGCUCCAAGCAGUGGAAAUGUGAAAAAGAGUAAUAUUAUUGAUGCAUGUACAUUUUUACAAUGAUAAGGAGUUCAUGGUUUUGUAUGUUGUUUUAUUGGAUUCAGGUGAAAUAGGCAAAUUUGACAAGGUGCAGUCUACCUUUUGGAGGGAAUGGAAAUUAAAAUUAGAAGACCAAAAGCGUGUUGCAGAUCGUUGUACAACAUUCGAGAAAAUAAUCCCUGGUGUUGACACGGUACGCUUUUAGUCUUAGGACUUUGAUUAUAUUAAGAGUGUUGUGCGUCCCUUGAUUGAUUCAGUCAAGUUAGAGAAUAAGCACAUUUUGAAGGAUGUUUUAACAUUAGCUGAUGAAUACCACUUGAACCGUUCACAGGUAGGCAGCUUUGUAGGCUUACAUCUCUGAAUUCUAUAACAUAGAGAUGGCUUUUUCCCCCAUUAAGUGAUAGUGAUCUAUUGUUUCCUUGCAGAUCUUUUUGUGUUAUUUGAGUUCUGUCAUUGUUUCUGAGGUUUGGACCAAUGAUGAUAUUACUUGUGAAAUUUCGGAAUUUAAAGGUGAAAUAGUUGGCUAUGCUGUGGAAACCAUCAAAGCUGUUUCAUAUAUUGUAUACCCUGCAAUUGAUGGAUGCCAUAAGGUGCGGCUUGCUUACAUCUUUGGUCUGCUUUCGGUGAGAUCAGACUCAGCCAUCGUAGUAGAGUCAUAAAUGGCAGUUUUGAUGCAGCAAGUUGUUACAUGUGCAGGCACCAACUUGCUUGCUAGAGCAACAAAAGGCAUGUUAUUGAUUCAAUAUAUUUUAAUUGUUUGUAACUGUAUGUUCAUGUAAGGAGUCGACUCAGAGGAACUGUAGUGCAGGAGUACUAUCGUAUUCGUGUAGCCUAAACAAGCUUGUGUUUUAGUCUAGUCAGUAAAUUAGUUAGAAUAGCAAAAUUUUGUCUGCUCAUAACAUUUAAAUUUACAUUCCCUCAGCUAAAACUUUUUGCUUCACUUUUGACAAUCCUUUGCUCCAAACGGUGUGUAUUUUGCUCGAGGUAUAUUCAUGAUCUCUUCCUUUUGCAUAUUGUUAUUGGUUUUCUUCAAACUAGUUGGAGCAAGCAAUUUACGUGCUCAAAUCCAAAUGUAGCAAUGAUCAAGGCUCGGCUAUCCAUUUGCCAUUGCGCCUCACACAUCAUUGUGGUCUUGGGAUUGAAUGCAAUCAAACCAAAGUUGAAUAAUUAAGAAAAGCAUUCUAAAACCCGUCAAUUGUUAGGAAAACACGUUUGUUAUAUUGAUGUUUGGAGCAAUACUACUCUUGAAUCAUGUAUGUUUCUUUCGUUGGCAAGAAAUUUGGUUUUGUUUUUAUUUUUUAUUGAGUCAUACUCUUAUCUAAUAUUAUUAAUUUUGAUAAUAUCUUUAAAUAAAAAGAAAUUAAAUUAGAAUAAUAAUUUAGUCUCAGUCCGAGCAAACACCAAACUGGUUACAAUACUAUUUUCAUUAUCAUGCUUCUUAAUCCGACACUGCACCAAACGCUUCACUAAGUUAGUCCAGCUUAGUCUAGUCUAAGCCAGUCCAGCUUAGUCCCUGAACCUAGUCCAGUCCGAGAUAGUCCGGUGCAACAAACGCACCCUUAAAGUUUAUAUGGAUUUAGCUUUGUCAACAAGUAUAGAUGAAAACUGCCUAUUGACAAAUUAAUAUUUAAUUAAAUGCGCGUUGCUUUUCGUUUAAACUAUCCAAUAUACAAUAAUUUCCCAAAUGUCAUGUUCAAUGGUCUCUUUCACAGUGGGACCUCGAAUUCAUGCAACGCGGCAUGAGAAAUAUUUCAAUGUGUGCAAAACAGAGACACAUACGUUAGAUGACACUGUAUAAGUUUAUGGACAUUUAGAAAAAAUUAUCUUUAAUUAUAUGAUAACAUAUGACAUACUAUCUUUUGUUCCGAACACAUUAAAAAAUCUUUCAUGCAAUCAAGGAUUUAAAUAUUAUUUGAUAUAUGAAUAAUAUAAUUACUUUCAAGUCUUGCCACACAAAAGCACACAAAGUAUCAUCACGCAUUAAAAAAAAGUUUGACAAUUUUGAAGAGAAUAAUAGCAUACAGUAACUCUAGUAUAGUUUGGAUCAAUCAUACGCCCCUCGGACCCAAUCCAAUUUGUGUGGCUCACCACCCACACAAAAGAAAAGGAUAUGAGACUAUAGUUGAGAGAUCAUGGACAGGAUGAACAAAAUUUGAAUGGCCAUGUGCUUUGUUCCACUACCAAAUGACAACCCACUGACAUAUUUAGGUUUGUUGUGAAAAUUAUUAAAAAUUGUUGAGAAAUUCAUAUACAAAUAGAAGAGAGAAUUGAGAAGAAGAAAAGAGUUGAAUUUCAUACUCAAUUCUAGUGUGUAAGAAUGAUACAAACGCUUUUUUAUAAGAGGUUUUUCAUCCAAUAGAAAAUUGUGGCAAAUUAUUUAUUUUACAGUCUACGAAUGAAUAGUGACUUUCCUGUUAAUGAACAGUAAAUCAUCCAAUUAUUCUUCCCAUGAGGUUUUUGUCUUUUUAUUUUUGAAUUUGGGACCUAUAUGGGCCAUCCAACCUUCACAACACGCCUCUUUUGAUGACCAUAUACCAAUGUGGAUUGCCUCAUUAAAAUCUUACUUGAAAAAACCCGGUGGAAAACAAUCAUAGCAAAAGAAAAAGAGAACAACUUUUUUUGGAUCAUUGAUAUUGAAUGCAUUUUUGUUGCCUCAUUAAAGUCUUGCUAGGAAAAAUCCUAGACGAAAGAAGAAGAGUACAACAAGCACGUGUCUUGGAUGCUCUCCCUGAUGAGUAUUUCCUCCUGAUUCAUGCAUUCUUCAAUUUGGCUAAUUACUAAGUCGACGUAAUCCGAUACCAUCAUCAACUUCUGAAAUGUAUAUUUCAGCAGAGAUUUGAUGAAUCGGUACACCACGUUAUCGUUGGAACGGAUUUGUCUUACUUCAAUAACUUUGUUCUUCUGAGCUCAUGUGUAAAGAAAAACUAUGGAGAUAUGAGUUCAAUCUUAUCGUCCUUUGAUGAAUCCUUGCUUCACUUGAGCAAUACAUGUAUUAUCUUCAUUAAUGAUAGUUGGAGCAUUUGUUUGUUUAAGAUAGACUACAUGAGUUUGGGUUGUGAUGGAUCACUAAUAUUAACCAAGAACAUUCACAACUAGCUUCAUGAAGAGCAAGUAUUCUGAAUGAUUAGAAGAUGUAGCAACUUGUGUUUGCUUCGGUUUGAGAACCAUGAGAUUGCUAUAUUUUCAUAAGUGAACACAUAUCUAGUUUCUGAAAGGGCUUUAUGCAAAUCAAAGAGAAAAUCAACAUCUGCAUAUCCAACAAGAUUUCAGCUAUCUGUGGGUUUCUCGAAAUAGAGUAGGCUCAUGUCUAUAGUCCCACAUAGCAUAUUUGAUUCUCUAUCAAUGUCGAAUUGUUGGAGCAUAGUUAUAUAUGCUACUAACAAAUUGACUAAAAGCUAUACAUUGUGUAAAGUAUAAUAAAACACAUAUUUCACUAAAAUAUGGUACUUCUGAACCAAGUAUCAAUUCAUCAUUUCCCUCACGAUGAUGAAUGAUCUUUCUUAGCAUCUAAAUAUUGGUUAACCCUUUGGGUGUUCAACUUAUAAUCUUCAAUCCACAUGGUUCUUUAAUACCAUAGUACUAUUGGUGGAUAAAUAUCGUGUUGGCAUAUUGUUCGAUCUACAACUAGAGACAAUAUGUCCUCAACACUUUAUAAUCUUUCUAGACUCUUUAGGAGUUCCAAUCUAAUAUCAUUAACUCUUGUAAAAGAUUUAAUAUGUUGCAACAAUAUCAUAAUGAUAGUAGGGGUGGGCAAACGGGUACAGGAACCGCGGUUCGGGGCAAGUAUGGGAUGGGUCCAAAAAUUAUAAAUACAAAAUGGGAUGGGUACAUGUAAAUAACGGGGCGGGCCGGUUCUAGAAAUUGGAAAAAAAGGGCCCUCGGCCCGAACCAUUGAUUUCCUACGUUGAUUUCCUACCGUUGAUUUCACCCUCUCUCUCUCUUAUUCUUGUCCGGGACUCCCAAGACUCCAUUCUAUUCUCAGACCCAAUUCACUCAACUCUCCCCUCUCUAGAUCUCUCCUCCUUGAAUCUCAUUUCCUCUCUCGCCGCCACCAUCGUCAUCAGACCUCUUUCUCUCAUCCUGAUUCGCUCUUGUCUUCCUCACUCCGUCCGCUACCAACAUCAUCAGGCCUCGAUCUCUGGCGACGCUUUGUUCGGAACUGAUUUCUGGUGACGUUUUGUGGUGCGCCGACGACAGGGUCAUCGAUGAGUUCAUGAUGGAACAGCCAAUCCCAUCGUACCUGUUCGCGUUCGCUGUCGACAAAGGGUUUGGGUGGUUCUUUCCGCUGGUGGCUCUGAAAAUGCUGAGGUACAUGAGCGCUACAUCAAUUAUCAUACACGACUGUGACGAGGUCUUCAACUAUUGGGAGCCUCUCCAUUUCCUUCUCUACAAAUCUGUUUUUCAAACUUGGGAAUACAAGUUCCCUUUUCAAUUCUCUUUCUUUUUCCUCUCUGAAAAAUUGAAACUUUGUUCUUUUUUUAGGUGUUUGUUUCUGGGUUUUGAUUGUUUGUUAUUUUCUGGGUUUUUUUUUUAUUUUGCUUGUUAUGAAAUUAUUUGUCUUUUUGGUUAUUUGAAGUUUAUUUUAUAUUAAAGAUGUUAAUAUAAUGCUAUGUUUGGUUAUAAUUUGUAGAGAACUAUUAAGCUCUGGAUUUAAUUUAUUGGGGAAGUUGGUUGUCGUUGAAAAGUUGAGUGCUUGUUAACGUACAAGAUUUUGUAGAGCAUUGCAGCUCAUGAACUAAUUGCAGCCUUCAGAUGAAACGAUGUGAUUUACUUCGUUACGGUAAUUUCCAAAAAAAAAAAACACACACACACACACACACAGAGGAUCCGUGUACCUGGCCCAUUUGAAAUAGGUUGGGUUAGGUCCAGUUCCAGUGAUCAGAUUUGCAAUACUUGGCCCAGCCCGUCUCGUUUCCUUUUUAAGCGAGUCUGGUUUGGUCCAUCCAAAUUUGGGUCGGGCCCAGCCCGUGCCCACCCCUAAAUUAUAGCACUCAUUAAGGCACUUUAUAUUAUCCAUGUUAUUGCUUUUGGAGAUAUGUUUCAAGUAUUUCAUAAGUUUUGUAUAAUAUAUAAUUCUCUAUUCAUACGAAAUGAACAUGUUUCACACUGGAAAAUCAUGUUUGUAGAAGUAUAUCACAAUUUCAGGUUUCAACUAAGAACCUUGUGUUAUAUCAUGUAAGUGUAUUUAAAUGGAUUACAAAUGCUUAUGUGUAACCUUUUGGGUUUGCUGAUGCACAAAACCUGAAGGGUUUUGGAACAACGUAAAUCCGACCGUGAAUCUGCAAGAAAGUAAAGAACACAAGAUGUAUCGUGGUUCACCCCCAAUGUUUGGGCUACGUCCACACUGAUGUUGAUAUUGUUUCACUCUGAAUGAUGAAUAUACAAGGAGCCUAGAGGCAGUGUGCUCUUUAGCCUAUUUUCUGUGUGCUCUCUUCCUAUGGCCUAAAACUUGGUUUCAAUCUUGGCCCUCCCUUAAUGAGGAGAGUGAAGAGUCCUUUUAUAGAAUAAGGGCUCCUCACUUAUUACAUAUUUUCCCCUUCAUUUAUGACAUAAUUACAUUUAAGUCCCCCGAGUAUUUAUACAAGGUCUAAAUACGGAGGCCCUAAGUAUGAUACAAAUAGUAGUCCCCCAAGUCUUCAGUCAAGAGAGUCUUUUGGCUGGAGACUUGAAAUUCAGUCUAUGUGUGGGCCGAAGUAACUAGAUGUCGUCUAGAACUGAUACUCGAUAUGAGGCGGUGCCCAAUGUGCAAUGAUGCUCAACUAGAAGUAGCACAUGUUGCGAGGCUGCUUGGCUGCUUGGCUUAUGUUGCAUUGUUUGGCUCGGCUUAUGGAGUUGAAGGUGAGGGAGUCCCUUUUAUAGAAUAAGGGCUCGCUCCUCAAUACAUAAGUGAUGGGUUAGGAGCAAGGUCUUAAAUGCCGAUAAUAUCGGCGAAAUAUCGCCAAUAUUAUCCGUUUUUCACGUUACCGAUAUUUUAAUAUGUAUCUAAUUAGUUUUCGUCAAAAUAUCACGAUAUUAUUGAUAAUAUGGAUAAUAUCAUGAUAUUAUCGAUAAUAUCGCGAUAUUAUCAAUAUUAUCGAUAAUAUCGCUCUCUCCGUCGUCGGAACGGCAGCCGAGCUCCGUCGUCGCAGCUGCCAAGAUCUGCGCCUCUCUCUGCCAAGAUCUGCGCCUCUCACAGGUGGUGAUGGUGCUCGUCGGAGUGUGCGCCACUGGGGUGGAGGUCACGGUGGGGUGGGUGUGGUGUGUCUCCCUUCCGCUCGCUCGCUCCAUGUCUGUUCUUUCUAUGGUGGUGAACGAAGGGCAGUGCAGCAGAUCAAACUAAUUUGAGCUUCACACUAACACGGAGAGAGAGAUCCGAAACUUACCUAACCGGAAAAUCAAAGAAGACUCGCCGGAAAGUUAUAGGCUCUGCCAUUCUCGUAGAGGCGGGAGAGAGAAGAUUGAUGAUGUGUUCCUCGAUCUGCUCGAGUCGAGCAGAUGGUGCUGCUGCGUGUGUGUGUGUGGUCACGGCAAGAGAGAGAGAGAGGUAAGAGGGUUUCGAGAGAGAGACAGUGCAGAGAAGAGAGAGAGAUAGUCGAAGUGAGUGAGAAGGAAAUGGGGUCUCGGGGUAGGGGAGAGACCCACGUAGUGGGUUCUUUGUAUUUUAAAAAGUUGUGGUCAUGUUUUAAUUAUGAAAACCCACGUAGUGGGUUCUUUAUAUUUUAAAAAGUUGUCCAAGUUUGAGAUCCACCCACACUACGUGGGUGUUUUAUAAUUUUAAAAGUUUGAGAUAUAUUUUAUAUAUAUAUAAAGGUUAUAUAAAUAUAAAUUAUGAAUUAUUUAGUUGAAAGGCAGGAGAAAACAAAAGCAAAAAAGGAAAAGGAAAAGAAAAUAAGAAAGAAAAAAAACACCAAGGGGAUUCAAAUCCCUCCCUUUGUCAACCAUACACCUAGACCUUAUCCAACUCGCUAUAGAUGUGUUUGUAAUUACAUAUUCAGCCUGUAAUAUUUAUAUGGUUGUUAAGAUAUCUGCAAGGCUUGCAAGCUAAUAUUUAUUAUCUAGGAAAAUUUUCUAUAUUUAAAAAAACACCAAGGGGAUUCGAACACCUCCCAUUUUACUCCUUCAACACCUUGACCACCAUAUCACUUAUGUUUUUGUGAAAAUAUGCUAAAAUACACUUACUCUACACAUAGAGAUGACGAAGAUAGUGAAAAUUUUGAACCUCAUAGGAACUCUAUGUGGUACUAAGUCACUCAUGUAUCUUACCAUGCAAAGUAUAAAGUGUAAAAUAUUGUACUAAUUCAUUAUAUAUAAAUGAUUAUGGUGUGUUUAAACUUCUUUCAUUAAUUACUACAUAUUUUCUACACUCACAAUGUUUGCCAGCUCGCUAUAUAAUCAACUUAAAUCAGUUAAAUCCAUCAUGCAAUGCAUUUCCUUCCAAUUUUUUGUGAUAAACUAAUAGAUAAUUGACUAAAUAAACAUCCUGCAAAGUUUCAAUAAAAAUUUCCAAGUUUUUCUUACAAUUUCCGUGGUUUCCAUACUAUUUUUAUCGAUAUCGAUAAUAUCCCGAUAUUUUCAUCGAUAUUUCCGUGUUUUUGGACUACCGAUAUUUCCGAUAUCAUCGAUAUUUAAUACCUUGGUUAGGAGUGAUGCUUGCGGCGAGGCGGUUGCUCAGCUGGCGGCGAUACUCUCUAAUGGAGGUGAGGAGGUCCCUUUUAUAAAAUAAGGGUUCACUCCUCAAUACAUAAGUGAGGGGUUAAGAGUCUCUCUCUAAUGAAGGUGAGGGAGUCUCUUUUAUAAAAUAAGGGUUCGCUCCUCAAUACAUGAAUAAUGAGUGCUCUCUAAUGAAAGUGAGGGAGUCCCUUUUAUAGAAUAAAGGUUCGCUUCUCAGUACAUAAAUAAUGGGCUAAGUCCCCCAAGUAUUUUUCAUGAGGCCCAGUUGUGGAAGCCCAAUAUAUGGUACAUAGUGCAGUACCCCAAGUCUUCAGUCAAUAGAGGCUGUUGGCUGGAGAUUUCAAAUUCAAUCCAUGUACGGGCCGAAGCGGCAGUUGUUCGGAGACGGUCUUUGUAUACCAUGCACUGAAGCUUUGUAGGUGAAGCUUUUAAAGUGAAGCUUUGAAGCUGGAGCUCUGUAACUGAAGCUUUCGAAGUUGAUUGACAUGAGUGAUGCUCAUGGAUGUUGACAUGAGUGAUGCUCAUGGAUGUUGACAUGAGUGAUGCUUAUGAAUGUUCACAUGACUGAUGGUCAUGAAUGUUUAUGUAUGAUUGACAUGACUGAUGGUCAUGAAUGUUUAUGUAUGAUUGACAUGAGUGAUGCUCAUGAAUGUUUAUGUAUGAUUGACAUGAGUGAUGCUCAUGAAUGUUUAGGUAUGACUGAGUGAUGCUCAUGUAUAAUUUUGGAGUACUGGACGUACUUUUGAUCACCUAAUGGGUGAUAAUAGCGGUAGGUUGCCGAAUAAUUUUGGAGUACUGGACGUACUUUUGAUCACUAGACGUACUUUUGAUCACCUGGUUGGUGAUAAUAGCGGCAGGGUGCUGAAUAAUUUUGGAGUACUAGACGGACUUUUGAUCACCUAGUGGUGAUAAUAGCGGCAGCCUGCCAAAUAAAUUUGGAGUACUAGACGUACUUUUGAUCACCUAGUUGGUGAUAAUAGCGGCAAGGUGCCGAAUAAUUUUGGAGUACUAGACGUACUUUUGAUCACCUAGUGGGUGAUAAUAGCGGCAGGUUGCUGAAUAAUUUUGGAAUGCCGGACGUACUUUUGAUCACCUGGUUGGUAAUGAUUGCGGCAGGCUGCCGAAUAAUUUUUUCUAGUACUGGACGUACUUUUGAUCACAUGGCUGGUGAUAAUAGAGGGCCUGGCUCUUUUUGGGCAUAUGGGUCUUCGCCCUCCACAUAACAUUCCAGCCCAUUAUUUUGGGCUUGCCGUUUUUUUUUAUUACCCUCUGAUGGGGUUAUACAGAUGUCUCCGAAAGAUAAGAAAAAUAAAUCACAUCAUUCAAAAAUAAAUAUGACCCUCUGCUCAAUGGGUCACGCCCAUAAUUCCCUUUUCUACAUGCCAUCACCACCGUAAUUAUGUCUGCUUCUUUUUAUCUUCUUUUGCUUUCUGCUUUUGCUUUAUGCUUUUGCUUUCUGUUUUUCUUUCUGCUUUCUGCUUGGGACAUGUUGCUUGAUGACAUGAUUAAGGGCAAUAUUCCUUUCUCUAAAGUGACAGCUGCUUGGACAGCCUUUUCGACACCACCCACUUGCUUUUCUUGAUCUCUUCGCUUCUUCUCUGUUUUUCUGCUGAGAAUCACUGGGUUGAGAUUCCAAGUUCGAGGGAUCCGAGUCGGGAGCCGACUGUGAUCUUCAAUAACUUCAUUGGCAUGCACGAGAGCGAACAAGAAUUCUCCAUGGCUGUGCCUAUCCAAGCUUCUGCACCACAGCAAAUGGUCCUCUAACAACCUUAACAAUCAUAACAAAAUACCUGAUGGGUCCUCUCGCCUACCUGUGUCGUUUAGAGCCAUGAACACAGCUUGCGGGGGCUUGGCGUGGAGGAAGAUAGGCGUAUAUUUGGUGACGUUCAAAGCGACGCUGAGUUAGCACUGCUCUGUGAAACUUAAACCGCUGCAUGCUGCUUUGAUCUUGGUCUUUGCCGGUGCGCAGAUUUUCAACCAGCUCUCUAUGAAGUCACUAGCAGUGGACCCAUCAUUGGGCAAAUAUGUAGUUAGAAUUUCGAGGGCCCACCAGUCAACGGUGAACUCAUGGCCCUCCCCGCGUACCACCUCGGGGGACACGUACUCUUCCAUUCCGACAAACGAGUUCGCGCGUUUGUCGUCCGAGAAACUCAGCUUCCGUCGACUCAUCGGGCUGACUUGGCCUUCUUCAACCCCUUCCUGCUACCGCCGUUCUUGUGAUUGUCGUUUAUAAUCGUGAUCCAACAUGUCAAGUUCCGCUGGUGUUUGCGAUGAAUCUUUGGGAUGUCGUUUUCCAGAAUGGAGUCGUUGGGCUUAGCGGUCAUGUGCUUAAGGCUAAUCGAGAGGUCGAAGUCUGUGAAUGUCACGUGGCCGGAUUACUGGAUGAGGACUGUAGUUCACAUCAAUGGCAUUUCUCCGCUCAGAAUCUCCAACAUGAGUGUUGGAUCUUGAUGUGCUUUUAGCGGUGGCGGUGGUUUUGGAUGAUGAGGUUUGGGAAUUGACGACAGAGAUGGCUGAGUUAGCUCGGUAAGAAAGGUACCCCAUAAGAGGAAAAUCGAGAUUUCAACUUUGUGUGUUCUCAGAACGCGGUUCAGAACCGUUAUGGGAUGGACCAAAAAGUCUUUUUCUUUUGAAAUACAGAGAGAGAGAUCUGGUUUUGAUGCAUGCUGAGAGAUCUUGAUCUUCAGAAAAGGAAAAAGAAUGAAGACUUUAAAAAAGAAAAAAGAGAAUCUUUGGGGCUCUUUUAUGAGCAGAGACCGAGAGAGAGAAAGAGAGAGGAGAUGACAUGGUGGCUUUGUGUUUGUGGGGGUUUUCUGGAAAAGCCCAAGGAGGUUUCGAGUUUCUGUAGAUUCAAGGUGGAGUGUGGUGAGGUCUCACGGUGGUGAGAUGAAAAAAUGAAAGAGAACCGAUAUAGCUUUUUGUGUCGAUUCCCACAGACGGCGCCAAAUGUUGAUGCACAAAACCGGAGGGUUCUUGGAACAACGUAAAUCCGACCGUGAAUCUGUAAAAAAGUAAAGAACACAAGAUGCAUCGUGGUUCACCCCAAUGUUUGGGUUACGUCCACACUGAUGUUGAUAUUGUUUCACUUUGAAUGAUGAAUAUACAAGGAGACUAAAGGCAGUGUGCUCUCUUCCCAUGGCCCAAGACUUGGCCUCAAUCUUGGCCCUCCCUUAAUGAGGAGAAUGAUGGGUCCUUUUAUAGAAUAAGGGCUUCUUACUUAUUACAUAUUUGCCCCUUCAUUUAUUACAUAAUUACAUUUGAGUCCCCGAGUAUUUAUACGAGGUCUAAAUACGGAGGCCUUAAGUAUGGUACAAACAGGGUUCAACAUCCUUUGGCUAUUUGUACUAUAUAUGGGUCCAUGUUUUCACAUUCUUACUUAAUUGUAAUGGAAUUGGCUCUCCAUUUUGCCAAUAAUGUUUCUUUUCGUUGACAAACAAAAGAACGCGACUCAAUAUAUAGUAGCUACUGUAAAACCAAAUUUUUCAUUGAUUAUCAUCAAUUUGUGAUCUAAUAAUUCUCAUGUGCAUGCACAUGCAUAGUUUCAAAGUUUUUCAUUUCUUUGGAUAUCUAUUGCCUCUUCAGAGGCAUUACACUAUUUCUUCUAUAGUUUAGAGAAUGCGGAUCAUAACCCCUUUUUAACUGUUAUAGAGCUUGAAUUUUUAAUCUCCACUUCUGGAGUUUGAGUUACUAGAACCUAUACAUCUAUCAUGCUUCAAGCAUGAAACAUACUAAAAAUUAUAUAGAAAUAGACGAAAGCAAGGAUGGAGCUAAUGUAGGCCUAGGGGCGGAUGCCCCCACUCAUUUAAAAAAAUGUAUAAUUGCGUUCCAAUUCUCAAUAAUCAGCCCUAAAUAAACUACAAUUAAAAAAAUUGGUAGGCAACUAAACUAGUCUACCACUUUGGAUCCCAAAUGCCCUACCUGAUGACAAUUUAAUUAACAAUUAAUUUAAUUGUGCCUCCCCGUUUUUGUAACCCUAGGUAUUUAAUCCACACAAAACUCAUCCCACCACGUACGGCAAAGCAAUUCCAGUCCUUAACUUCUCCAGAUUUUUCCUCCCCUUUCAUUCAACCAAAACUCAAUUGAAUUUGGAGUGUUAUAGACAGUUGGAGUUCAAGUAAUCAAUUAUCAAAAUUCAACACAAGAAUUUUACUCCACAAGGUAUUUUAUACGACUUUACUUCAUUAAUUUGUUUUUGGCAUUUCAAUUUAGAAUUUAGCUUUCUAAUUUAGAGAUCAAUAGAUGAAUGAUAACAUGAUUAUGUUUAUAUAAAGAGAUAUUUAAUGGUAUUGGUAAUGAUAUUGUUAUGCAACACUUUCAAAACAUGAAAACAAUUCAAGGAAUAAUGUAAUAUGUGUUGCGAGUUAUAUAUUAGUUAAAAUAUAAAUAGUAGUUUAUUGUCCCACAUUGGUGAAGUACAUAUGUAAUACCAAUUGUAACUCCUAUACUCCACUUUGGAGAUUAAUGAAUAUAUAAGAAAUUCCCAAAUAUUGUCAUAUAUAUUUUUGGUAUUUACCAUAUUUAGUUUAAUAUGGCAUCAGAGCAGUUCGCUCUUGGUGACCUGUGUGCUUUAAUUUUGUGCCCACAUUUUUUGUGAUUUCCUUCGUGAAAAAAAAAAAAAAAAGUGAAUAAUGGCGCGCUACAAUACAGAGCGUGAACAGUGGUCUGCUUUGUGAACAGUGGUCCUUUACAAUGCCGUAAACAGUGAUUGCUACAGUGCCGUGAAUAGUGCUCUGCUACAGUAUCUGGUAAAUUAUUUUCAUUCCGCUGCGUAUCUUUUGUGCCUUUAUUGUUCAUGAUUUUUGUUCAAUGGCUCAAUAUAAUCAUAGUGUUAUUAUGCAUCUUGGUGGAACAAAUAAAUGGAUAAUAGAUACUAAGACCACUGAUCAUGUGACUAGUGACCCUAGAGUGUUUGAUGAGUUAUGUGACUAUGUUCGUGAUCCGUAUAUUACUAGUGCAAAUGGAGCAAAUUCCCCUGUGAAGGGUGAAGGCACUAUCUCUCUUACUCUAACCUUAUCACUGGUCUGUGUUUUAUUUGUUCCUGAUGUUAAGUGCAAUCUUUUGUCGGUAGGAAAACUUCUUGAUACCUUAUAUUGUUCUGCUCACUUUUACCCUACGUAUUUUUAUUUUCAAGAUAUUCAAACUCAGAAGAUAAUUGGUCAUGGUAAAAGAAUAGGGGGUUUGUACAUCUUAACUAUAGAGGAUACUGUUGUUUCUGGUUCAAAUAAUCAUCAAGUUUUAAGUGCUAAAGUGGAUGACAGACAUCAAAUUUGGUUGUGGCAUCGAUAAUUAGGACAUCCAUCAUUAAGUUAUAUGAAACAUCUAUUUCUUUCUUUGUUUCACACUUGUAGUGAUUCAGAAUUCAAGUGUGAAACAUGUGUCAUGGCUAAGAGUCAUCGUGCUUCAUUUCCUGUAAGUGAUUCUAAAGCUACUUUGCCAUUUGAUUUGAUACAUUCUGAUGUGUGGGGUCCGGCGAAAGUUACUUCUAAUGGAUUCCGUUGGUUUGUUACUUUUAUUGAUGAUUGUACUCGGUUAACUUGGGUGUUCUUGAUGAAGAAUAAGAGUGAUGUUCCGUUACUUCUUCAAGAAUUUUGUACAAUGGUGUCUACUCAGUGUCAGACCAAAGUUAAGGUCUUCAGGUCUGAUAACGGAGGAGAAUAUGUGAAUCACACUUGGCAUGUUUUUUUCGUGAUCAUGGUAUUAUUCACCAAACGACUACUCCGUUUACACCCCAACAAAAUGGUGUGUCCGAACGGAAGAAUCGUCAAAUAAUAGAGGUUGCUCGCUUCUUGAUGUUGGAUAAAUGUGUUCCUAAUCAUUUGUGGGGUCAUGCUGUUUUGGCUGCUGUGUAUUUGAUCAAUCAUGUUCCAAGUAGGGUUCUUGAGUUUCAGACACCGUUCGAUAUGCUACAAAAACAUGUUUCUCUUGUUUCUGUAUCAAAGCUUCCUCCGAAAGUGUUUAAGUGUAUUGCGUAUGUGCAUGUCUACUCUCAUCAGCGGAGUAAACUUGAUGCAUGUGUUCUCCGGUGUGUCUUUAUUGGAUAUGCUAACAAUCAAAAAGGCUAUAAGUGUUAUCAUCCUCCGACUCAAAAAACUUAUAUUACCAUGGAUGUCACCUUCCAUAAGGAAGUUUCAUAUUUUGUGAAGCCUUUUUCCACCUAUCCAUUUCAGUGGGAGAGGGGGAGUGAAGUGCAGAUUCGAAGAGAUGGUAUGGAUGAUGUGUUACAUGCAGAGUUGGGAACAUAACCUAUUAUGUUGCGUGAUACUGAUCAGUCGGCUACAGAUAGUGAUCGGUCACCUGUUAUUCCUGGAACUAUUUCUACUAACGACAAAUCAGAUGUGCCCAGCGAGUUGCCUAUUAGUAUGUCUGACGAAUUACCUUCUGAUGAUCGGUUGCAUGCUGCUGAUAUGUCUGACGAAUUACCUUCUGAUGAUCGGUUGCCUGCUGCUGAUAUGUCUAACGAGUUGCCUAAUGAUGGUUCAUUCAGUGAUGAUUCUUCUAACAGUUUGGUACAAGAUGGUGGCAUACAUGAGGUAAAUUCUGACGAUUCUUCUACUUAUCAGUUGCCUCCACGAGCUAAUCGUGAAAAACCUAAAGUACAAUAUGAGCCUGAUAUGCAUGCCAAAGCCAAAUAUCCUAUCAAUAAUUAUAUGGCUACUCAUCGUUUGUCCAAACCAUAUGCAUCUUACAUAUGUCAGCUAUCUAGUGUAUCAAUUCCAACAAAAUUGCAAGAUACUUUGUCUGACCCUAAGUGGGUUAAUGCCAUGGAAGUUGAGAUGGAAGCUUUGGAAAAGAAUUCUACUUGGGAUUUGGUUGCUUUACCAAACGGGAAAAAAGCCAUUGGAUGUAGAUGGGUGUUUAUUACUAAGCACAAAGCAGAUAGUUCUAUUGACCGGUAUAAAGCCAGAUUAGUUGGGGUUAUACUCAAACCUAUGGGGUGGACUAUCAGGAGACUUUUGCUCCUGUUGCCAAACUUAAUAAUGUGCGUGUUCUUCUGUCCUUAGCAGUAAACCAGGAUUGGCUUCUGUUGCAGUUUGAUGUUAAGAAUGCUUUCCUUUAUGGUGAUCUUAAAGAUGAAGUGUAUAUGGAUUUUCCACCUGGUAUUGGAACAUCUCUUGGAAAAUGUGUUGUAUGCAGGUUACGAAAGGCCUUGUAUGGUUUGAAACAAUCUCCUAUAGCAUGGUUUGGGAGGUUUACAAGUUCAAUGAAGAAGUUUGGAUAUAUCCAGAGUCAUUCAGAUCCUACUUUGUUUCUAAAGCGACAAAAUGGUAAGCUAACUGCAUUGAUUAUUUAUGUUGAUGACAUGAUAGUGACUGGUGAUAAUCAGAAGGAGAUACAACGCCUUCAAAAGUACCUAGCUAUUGAGUUUGAGAUGAAAAAAUUGGGUGAACUGAAGUAUUUUCUUGGAAUCGAGGUUACACGAUCCAAGCAUGGUAUUUUUCUGUCUCAACGGAAAUAUGUUCUUGAUUUAUUAGCUGAAACAAGUAUGUUAGAUUGCAAACCUGUUGAUACUCCGAUUGAGCAGAAUCAUCGUCUGGGCUUAUUUCUAGAUCAAGUUCCUACUCAUAAGGAACGGUAUAAGAGGCUUGUAGGGAGAUUAAUUUAUUUGUCUCACACUCGCCCUGACAUUGCUUAUGUAGUUAGUGUGGUAACUUAGUUUAUGCACUCACCUAGUGAAGCUUAUAUGGAUGCAGUAACCCGUAUUUUGAGAUACUUGAAAAUGGCUCUUGUCAGAGGCCUGGUUUUUUUCAAGAAUGGUCAUUUGAAUGUCGAAGGGUAUACAGAUGCAGAUUGGGCAGGUUCUAUCACUGAUCGGCGAUCUACAUCUGGAUACUUUACGUUUGUGGGUGGCAAUUUAGUUACUUGGAGAAGCAAGAAACAAAAAGUGGUGGCUAGGUCAAGUGCAGAAGCUGAGUUUCGUGGUAUGUCUCAUGGUGUAUGUGAGUUGUUGUGGUUGAAAAAAAUUGUUGAGAGAUCUUGGGUUUAAUAGUGUGUUUUCCAACUCGCUUGACAAGUUGGGCAUGCGUGACAUCUUUGCACCAACUUGAGGGGGAGUGUUGCAAGUUAUAUAUUAGUUAAAGUGUAAAUAGUAGUUUAUUAUCCCACAUUGGUGAAGUACAUAUGUAAUACCAAUUGUAACUCCUAUAUAUACUCCACUUUGAAGAUUAAUGAAUAUAUAAGAAAUUCCCAAAUAUUGUCAUAUAUAUUUUUGGUAUUUACCAUGUUUAGUUUAAUAUUGGUAUUUACCAUGUUUAGCUUAAUAAUAUGUUGUAUGAAAAACUUUAUAAAUUAAUGUAUUAGUGUUUUGUUCAAUAAAUUCUUGAGAUUUUUAAUUGUGACUUUAUUGUUUGAGGAUGCUCCCGCUCAUAUAAAUCUCUAACUUCAUCCUUGAAAGAGAGAAUUGAGAAGUAGAAAAGAGUUGAAUUUCAAAAUCAAUUGUGGUGUAUAAGAAUGGUACAAACGCUUCUUUAUAAGAAGUUUGCCAGAAACUGUAGCAAACUAUUUAUUUUACAGUCUUCAAAAUGAAUAUUGACUUUCCUAUGGAUGAACAGUGAGUAAUCCAAUUUUUAUUCCGAUGAAGAAUGAGAUUUUUGUCUUCUUUAAAUUUAGGACAUGUACGGGGCCAUCCAACCUUUACACCAAGUCACCUUUUUACGUCACUCUCAAAUAUUGUAGCGUUACUUUUUUAUUGCAAACUAUCAUCUGAUACAUUUACCUAAAAAAAACAGUUUUUAAGUAUGUCAUAUUUUAUAAAUAACCAUUAGCAGUUUAGGAAGAGUGACUCUUCAAAGAAUAACAUAUAACUUAUUUAUAAGACACGUUUUGAAGUAAGGGAGGUGUGGAAUCAGAAUGAUUCGAAAUUUAUCACAUUAAUAGGCAUGAUAAUAUACAAGAAAGAUAGUGAUCUCAGUGAUCUCAGUGCUUGUUGUCCAGGAUUAGGUUACAAGGAAAGUUCAGCAACACCUUUUUAAUUUAUAGCAAAAUCUGAAACCCGGAAUCACAUUAAUUUAAUACAUAAGAAGAAAAAUGAAACUAAUCAAGCUGAGCAUACCAAACUCCCUGGAUUUUGACAUCCUUUGGAGUCUUGGCUCCCAAGUCAGUGUCAGACGGCUGAAUGCUCUCAAACACCCCAAUCAACUCACCAUUCUCAGGCUUGCUCUUUGUCACACUCAGUGUGAUCUUCCCUGUUGAUGCUGCUGUAUUCUUGGUGUUCUCCUUUGCCAACUCCUCCUCGUCUCCUCUGCCACCUGCCGGCAACGCAACCGCAUUGUCGUAACCGGUAGAUCCUCCUCUUCCCUUGGGGUCCAAGAAAGAGGAUCCGCGGUAUGAUGGUACUAGAAACUCUCCUGUGAAGUUGUCAGGCUUGCCAGAGGCUACGAGCUGCUUGAUGGUAAAGAGGAAGGGCACGCGCUCACCUCCCGGGA